CAGCCGCCGCGGGAAUACGGAGGGGGCUAGCGUUGUUCGGAAUUACUGGGCGUAAAGCGCACGUAGGCGGCUUUGUAAGUUAGAGGUGAAAGCCCGGAGCUCAACUCCGGAAUUGCCUUUAAGACUGCAGAGCUAGCAGGUGAGAGAGGUAAGUGGAAUUCCGAGUGUAGAGGUGAAAUUCGUAGAUAUUCGGAAGAACACCAGUGGCGAAGACGGCUCACUGGACGACUGUUGACGCUGAGGUACGAAAGCGUGGGGAGCAAACAGGACUAGAUACCCCAGUAGUCCCUGUCUCUUAUAC
This 301-nucleotide ribosomal RNA is filed under the name uncultured bacterium. RNAcentral's name for it is "partial 16S ribosomal RNA". It matches the Rfam family "Bacterial small subunit ribosomal RNA", at positions 509 to 807 of the family's 1533-position model. The record is from RNAcentral.